UGGGGAUCUCAGCAGCCUCCCCGCCAUUCAAGACGCUGAAUUGCGUCCAAGGUUGC
RNAcentral lists this non-coding RNA (56 nucleotides) under unclassified sequences. RNAcentral describes it as "chromate-resist RNA". It matches the Rfam family "chrB-b RNA". The record is from RNAcentral.